Molecule: long non-coding RNA, 1185 nt
Filed under: Cricetulus griseus (Chinese hamster)
Lineage: Eukaryota; Metazoa; Chordata; Mammalia; Rodentia; Cricetidae
Description: lncRNA (ENSCGRG00000024276.1)
Source: RNAcentral
AUGGGCCCUGCCCAUUUACGCUCUCGCGCUCUCUCUCUCGUCGCUGUCUCUCUGUUCCUCUGUCUCUCUGUCUCUCUGUUCCUCUGUCUCUCUCUCUGUUCCUGUCUCUCUCUCCAUCUCUCUGUUCCUCUGUCUCUCUCUCUGUUCCUGUCUCUCUCUCUAUCUCUCUCUUCCUGUUUCUCUGUUCUUCUGUUUCUCUCUCUGUCUCUCUGUCUCUCUGUCUCUCAGUUCCUCUGUCUCUCUGUGUUCCUCUGUCUCUCUGUUCCUCUGGCUCUCACUCUGUAUCUCUGUUCCUCUGUCUCUCCGUCUCUCUGUUCCUCUGUCUCUCUCUGUUCCUCUGUCUCUCUGUCUCUCUGUUCCUCUGUCUCUCUGUUCCUCUGUCUCUCUCUGUCUCUCUGUCUCUCUGUCUCUCUGUUCCUCUGUCUCUCUUCCUCUGUCUGUCUCUCUGGUCCUCUCUCUCUGUUCCUCUGUUCCUCUGUCUCUCUGUUCAUCUGUCUCUCUCUGUCUCUCUCUCUGUCUCUCUGUUCCUGUCUCUCUGUUCCUCUGUCUCUCUGUUCCUCUGUCUCUCUCUCUUCCUGUCUCUCUCUUCAUCUGUCUCUCUCUCUGUCUCUCUGUCUCUCUGUUCCUCUGUCUCUCUGUUCUUCUGUCUCUCUGAUCCUCUGUCUCUGUCUCUCUGUUCCUCUGUCUCUCUGUUCCUCUGUCUCUGUCUCUCUGUUCCUCUGUCUCUCUGUUCCUCUGUCUCUCUCUUCCUCUCUCUCUGUCUCUCUCUCUGUCUCUCUGUUCCUGUCUCUCUCUCUGUUCCUCUGUCUCUUUCUCUGUCUCUCUCUGUCUGUCUCUGUCUCUCUGUUCCUCUGUUUCUCUCUCUGUCUCUGUCUCUCUGUCUCUGUUCCUCUGUUCCUCUGUCCCGCUCUCUGUCCCGCUCUCUGUGCUACUCCGUGCCCCACCCAUGCUCUCUCUCUCUCUCUAUGGUGACUGGCCGUGGCCGUGGCCGUCAGCCAUUUACCCUGUUCCUCCUCCUCGUCUCCCAUUCUGCCGCCCUUUAUAAUAAACUAGAGUCUGACGCCCACGUCUCACGUUUUCUCUUUUCUUCUUUUUAAACAAAACAAUAACAACACCGCGGUGGGGGCCGGGACCCCGGAGGCCUCCGUUUCCCGGGGGUCAAACGUCAACCAGGGGAACUGGGGU